AGCGAACGCUGGCGGCAGGCCUAACACAUGCAAGUCGAACGGAUCCUUCGGGAUUAGUGGCGGACGGGUGAGUAACACGUGGGAACGUGCCCUUUGGUUCGGAACAACUCAGGGAAACUUGAGCUAAUACCGGAUGUGCCCUUCGGGGGAAAGAUUUAUCGCCAUUGGAGCGGCCCGCGUCUGAUUAGCUAGUUGGUGAGGUAACGGCCCACCAAGGCGACGAUCAGUAGCUGGUCUGAGAGGAUGACCAGCCACACUGGGACUGAGACACGGCCCAGACUCCUACGGGGGGAACAGGGGGGGAACCUGGCGGAAGGGGCGAAACCGUGACGGCGCCGGGCCGGGUAAAUUAAAAUUGUUGUGAGAGUUUAAAAUUCUUUGGGGGGGACCGGUAAUGACGUCACCCGAAAAAGAAGCCCCGUCUACCUUGGUG
Molecule: ribosomal RNA, 433 nt
Filed under: uncultured bacterium
Lineage: Bacteria
Description: partial 16S ribosomal RNA
Rfam family: Bacterial small subunit ribosomal RNA
Source: RNAcentral